GGACUACUAGGGUUUCUAAUCCCGUUCGCUCCCCUGGCUUUCGUGUCUCAGCGUCAGCAAGUCCCCAGCAGACUGUUUUCACCUUUGGCGUUCCAGACGAUAUCUACGCAUUUCACCGCUCCACCGUCUGUUCCAUCUGCCCCUAGACUGCUCAAGAUCGCCAGUAUGCCCAGCCAUUCCCCGGUUGAGCCGGGGGAUUUCACAAGACACUUAACGACCCGCCUACACACGCUUUAAGCCCAGUGAUUCCGCCUAACGCUCGGCACCUCUGUCUUACCGCGGCUGCUGGCAC
RNAcentral lists this ribosomal RNA (292 nucleotides) under uncultured bacterium. RNAcentral's name for it is "partial 16S ribosomal RNA". The record is from RNAcentral.